This 647-nucleotide long non-coding RNA is filed under the name Homo sapiens (human). Its description in RNAcentral is "long non-coding RNA NONHSAT127630". The record is from RNAcentral. Lineage: Eukaryota; Metazoa; Chordata; Mammalia; Primates; Hominidae.
UCGUUAUUCGGUUUGUCAAAAAUUAAAGGUGGGGAGGACAAAAAUCAGGAGAGAUUGAUUGCAUCUACUUUUCUACGGAAAUGUCUAACUCCGCUUCCAAAAAAAGCCGUAAUUAUUUUUGUGCUUCAAAUAUACGUUUAUGUUUAUAUCUUUCAACAUAAUUUUGUAAAACAAAUGUUAAGUUUUACUGAAUGUUGUCACUGAACAAACUUGUGAUGAGCAGGUAUUUUAGAGUCUUGGGGUCUUAAAAGAAAAUCAUAGGACUCAGACUGCCCCAGAGUUAUGCAAUCUAAGAGUAUAUUAACCACUUUUAAGUAUUAUAUGUUUUUCUCUUUUUUGAGCUUUUGUCGAUUUGACACGUUCAUUUCAUUUGAAUGUUGGUUCUGAAAAUGAAGCAUGUAGUUACUUUUCCGUUAACAUACAUAACAGCAUUUUAAAGUACCUAAAUUCCUUUUGGAAGGCCGAGGCGGACGGAUCACCUGAGGUCAGAAGUUCCAGACCAGCCUGACCAACAUGGUGAAACCCGUUUCUACUAAAAAUACAAAACCUAGCCCCGGGCGUGGUGGCACGCGCCUGUAAUCCCAGCUACUCAAGAGCCUGAUGCAGGAGAAUCGCUUGAAACCGGGAGGCGGAGGUUGCAGUGAGCU